AACGUCGUCUCAUACCGGACGGGGUAUGGAGACUUGGUCAUUUGGUGCUCAUACUAGACGGGGUAUGGGGACGACCCGCUUCACCCUCAUACCGAACAGGGUAUUGAGGUUUAUUGUUUUGGCGCUCAUACCGGACGGGGUAUGGGGAUGACCCUUGAAUUAAGAUUGUUAAGAAAAAUGGUUCACGUGUAGUGGGGACCCCUAUGGAUCCCCAUGGAUACUAGUAUGCUGGUGAAAAUGAGAAACGGUGAUAAUCAGUUAUUGUUAAUAAAUACAGAUUUAUGAUGUGUUUUAUGUUACUGAUUAUGCAUGAAAUUGUGAUAUGUAUGAUGUUAUUGUCUUUAUAGGUUGUUUUCACAGGUGUUCCAAGGGUAAAAAAAAGGGUAAGUGGUUUUAUUUUAAAUAAUUGAAUUGGUUUAAAAUUUGUGCUCCAUUGGUUGUUUUCGGUUUUCUACCAAUUUUUGCUUCUUUGACGAUGAUAUAGUGUGAUGUCCUUACUGAGCUAGUGUAGCUCAUUCCUUAUUUAACCAUUUUAGAUCAGGAGGACCUAGUUCCUGAGCCUAAUCCACAAGAAGACGGCGAGUAGAUGCUAAAUGCUUUAUAGUUUCCUUUAUUUUUCUCAUUUCUCGUAUUUCUUUUAGAGAACUUAUUCUGUGGUAUUGUUUAGUACUUUUAAGUUGUUGUGUAAGGGAUGUUAACCUUAAUCUUUGAUUUCACUUCCGCACUCAGAUUAUUAUAUGUAUUUUCUUUUG
This 752-nucleotide long non-coding RNA is filed under the name Carica papaya (papaya). RNAcentral's name for it is "long non-coding RNA (CPAP_LNC004532)". Lineage: Eukaryota; Viridiplantae; Streptophyta; Magnoliopsida; Brassicales; Caricaceae. The record is from RNAcentral.